This 253-nucleotide ribosomal RNA is filed under the name uncultured Sandaracinaceae bacterium. RNAcentral describes it as "partial 16S ribosomal RNA". It matches the Rfam family "Bacterial small subunit ribosomal RNA", at positions 524 to 776 of the family's 1533-position model. Lineage: Bacteria; Pseudomonadati; Myxococcota; Polyangiales; Sandaracinaceae. The record is from RNAcentral.
GACAGAGGGUGCAAACGUUGCUCGGAAUUACUGGGCGUAAAGGGCGCGUAGGCGGAUUUGGAAGUCGGGUGUGAAAUCCCUGGGCUCAACCUAGGAACUGCAUUCGAAACUCCAAGUCUAGAGUGACGGAGAGGAAAGCGGAAUUCCCGGUGUAGAGGUGAAAUUCGUAGAUAUCGGGAGGAACACCAGAGGCGAAGGCGGCUUUCUGGACGUCCACUGACGCUGAGGCGCGAAAGCGUGGGGAGCAAACAGG